UCCACCUUCUGUGGCAGAGGUAAAGAUCACAACAACACAGAGAAGAUUAGCCUGGCCAUCUACGUAUGGAUGACAAAGCCAAUGUGUGUAGCGUUCAAAAAGACU
RNAcentral lists this small nuclear RNA (105 nucleotides) under Eptatretus burgeri (inshore hagfish). The record is from RNAcentral. Lineage: Eukaryota; Metazoa; Chordata; Myxini; Myxiniformes; Myxinidae.